This 747-nucleotide ribosomal RNA is filed under the name uncultured bacterium. RNAcentral's name for it is "bacterial SSU rRNA". It matches the Rfam family "Bacterial small subunit ribosomal RNA", at positions 33 to 773 of the family's 1533-position model. The record is from RNAcentral.
ACGCUGGCGGCAGGCCUAACACAUGCAAGUCGAGCGGCAGCACAGGUACUUGUACCGGGUGGCGAGCGGCGGACGGGUGAGUAAUGCCUAGGAAUCUGCCUGGUAGUGGGGGAUAACGCUCGGAAACGGACGCUAAUACCGCAUACGUCCUACGGGAGAAAGCAGGGGACCUUCGGGCCUUGCGCUAUCAGAUGAGCCUAGGUCGGAUUAGCUGGUUGGUGGGGUAAUGGCUCACCAAGGCGACGAUCCGUAACUGGUCUGAGAGGAUGAUCAGUCACACUGGAACUGAGACACGGUCCAGACUCCUACGGGAGGCAGCAGUGGGGAAUAUUGGACAAUGGGCGCAAGCCUGAUCCAGCCAUGCCGCGUGUGUGAAGAAGGUCUUCGGAUUGUAAAGCACUUUAAGUUGGGAGGAAGGGCCGUUACCUAAUACGUGAUGGUUUUGACGUUACCGACAGAAUAAGCACCGGCUAACUCUGUGCCAGCAGCCGCGGUAAUACAGAGGGUGCAAGCGUUAAUCGGAAUUACUGGGCGUAAAGCGCGCGUAGGUGGUUUGUCAAGUUGAAUGUGAAAGCCCCGGGCUCAACCUGGGAACUGCAUGCAAAACUGGCAGGCUAGAGUAUGGUAGAGGGUGGUGGAAUUUCCUGUGUAGCGGUGAAAUGCGUAGAUAUAGGAAGGAACACCAGUGGCGAAGGCGACCACCUGGACUGAUACUGACGCUGAGGUGCGAAAGCGUGGGGAGCAAAC